RNAcentral lists this ribosomal RNA (2886 nucleotides) under Vibrio cholerae C6706. RNAcentral's name for it is "23S ribosomal RNA". It matches the Rfam family "Bacterial large subunit ribosomal RNA". Lineage: Bacteria; Pseudomonadati; Pseudomonadota; Gammaproteobacteria; Vibrionales; Vibrionaceae. The record is from RNAcentral.
GGUUAAGUGACUAAGCGUACACGGUGGAUGCCUGGGCAGUCAGAGGCGAUGAAGGACGUACUAACUUGCGAUAAGCGCAGAUAAGGCAGUAAGAGCCGUUUGAGUCUGCGAUUUCCGAAUGGGGAAACCCAACUGCAUAAGCAGUUACUGUUAACUGAAUACAUAGGUUAACAGAGCAAACCGGGGGAACUGAAACAUCUAAGUACCCCGAGGAGAAGAAAUCAACCGAGAUUCCGGUAGUAGCGGCGAGCGAACCUGGAUUAGCCCUUAAGCACUCGGUGAAGUAGGUGAACAAGCUGGAAAGCUUGGCGAUACAGGGUGAUAGCCCCGUAACCGACGCUUCAUCGAGCGUGAAAUCGAGUAGGGCGGGACACGUGAUAUCCUGUCUGAAUAUGGGGGGACCAUCCUCCAAGGCUAAAUACUCCUGACUGACCGAUAGUGAACCAGUACCGUGAGGGAAAGGCGAAAAGAACCCCUGUGAGGGGAGUGAAAUAGAACCUGAAACCGUGUACGUACAAGCAGUAGGAGCACCUUCGUGGUGUGACUGCGUACCUUUUGUAUAAUGGGUCAGCGACUUAUAUUCAGUGGCAAGGUUAACCGUAUAGGGGAGCCGUAGCGAAAGCGAGUCUUAACUGGGCGCUCAGUCUCUGGAUAUAGACCCGAAACCGGGUGAUCUAGCCAUGGGCAGGUUGAAGGUUGAGUAACAUCAACUGGAGGACCGAACCGACUAAUGUUGAAAAAUUAGCGGAUGACUUGUGGCUAGGGGUGAAAGGCCAAUCAAACUCGGAGAUAGCUGGUUCUCCCCGAAAGCUAUUUAGGUAGCGCCUCGGACGAAUACUACUGGGGGUAGAGCACUGUUAAGGCUAGGGGGUCAUCCCGACUUACCAACCCUUUGCAAACUCCGAAUACCAGUAAGUACUAUCCGGGAGACACACGGCGGGUGCUAACGUCCGUCGUGGAGAGGGAAACAACCCAGACCGCCAGCUAAGGUCCCAAAGUAUUGCUAAGUGGGAAACGAUGUGGGAAGGCUCAGACAGCUAGGAUGUUGGCUUAGAAGCAGCCAUCAUUUAAAGAAAGCGUAAUAGCUCACUAGUCGAGUCGGCCUGCGCGGAAGAUGUAACGGGGCUAAGCAAUACACCGAAGCUGCGGCAAUAUCUUUUAGAUAUUGGGUAGGGGAGCGUUCUGUAAGCCGUUGAAGGUGAAUCGUAAGGUUUGCUGGAGGUAUCAGAAGUGCGAAUGCUGACAUGAGUAACGACAAAGGGGGUGAAAAACCUCCUCGCCGGAAGACCAAGGGUUCCUGUCCAACGUUAAUCGGGGCAGGGUGAGUCGACCCCUAAGGUGAGGCCGAAAGGCGUAAUCGAUGGGAAACGGGUUAAUAUUCCCGUACUUCUGACUAUUGCGAUGGGGGGACGGAGAAGGCUAGGUGGGCCAGGCGACGGUUGUCCUGGUUCAAGUGCGUAGGCUUGAGAGUUAGGUAAAUCCGGCUCUCUCUAAGGCUGAGACACGACGUCGAGCUACUACGGUAGUGAAGUCAUUGAUGCCAUGCUUCCAGGAAAAGCCUCUAAGCUUCAGAUAGUCAGGAAUCGUACCCCAAACCGACACAGGUGGUCGGGUAGAGAAUACCAAGGCGCUUGAGAGAACUCGGGUGAAGGAACUAGGCAAAAUGGUACCGUAACUUCGGGAGAAGGUACGCUCUUGAUGGUGAAGUCCCUCGCGGAUGGAGCUGACGAGAGUCGCAGAUACCAGGUGGCUGCAACUGUUUAUUAAAAACACAGCACUGUGCAAAAUCGCAAGAUGACGUAUACGGUGUGACGCCUGCCCGGUGCCGGAAGGUUAAUUGAUGGGGUUAGCGCAAGCGAAGCUCUUGAUCGAAGCCCCGGUAAACGGCGGCCGUAACUAUAACGGUCCUAAGGUAGCGAAAUUCCUUGUCGGGUAAGUUCCGACCUGCACGAAUGGCGUAAUGAUGGCCACGCUGUCUCCACCCGAGACUCAGUGAAAUUGAAAUCGCUGUGAAGAUGCAGUGUACCCGCGGCUAGACGGAAAGACCCCGUGAACCUUUACUACAGCUUGGCACUGAACAUUGAACCUACAUGUGUAGGAUAGGUGGGAGGCUAUGAAGACGUGACGCCAGUUGCGUUGGAGCCGUCCUUGAAAUACCACCCUUGUAUGUUUGAUGUUCUAACUUAGACCCGUUAUCGGGUUGAGGACAGUGCCUGGUGGGUAGUUUGACUGGGGCGGUCUCCUCCCAAAGAGUAACGGAGGAGCACGAAGGUGGGCUAAUCACGGUUGGACAUCGUGAGGUUAGUGCAAUGGCAUAAGCCCGCUUAACUGCGAGAAUGACGGUUCGAGCAGGUGCGAAAGCAGGUCAUAGUGAUCCGGUGGUUCUGUAUGGAAGGGCCAUCGCUCAACGGAUAAAAGGUACUCCGGGGAUAACAGGCUGAUACCGCCCAAGAGUUCAUAUCGACGGCGGUGUUUGGCACCUCGAUGUCGGCUCAUCACAUCCUGGGGCUGAAGUCGGUCCCAAGGGUAUGGCUGUUCGCCAUUUAAAGUGGUACGCGAGCUGGGUUUAGAACGUCGUGAGACAGUUCGGUCCCUAUCUGCCGUGGGCGUUGGAAGAUUGAAGGGGGCUGCUCCUAGUACGAGAGGACCGGAGUGGACGAACCUCUGGUGUUCGGGUUGUGUCGCCAGACGCAUUGCCCGGUAGCUAAGUUCGGAAUUGAUAAGCGCUGAAAGCAUCUAAGCGCGAAGCGAGCCCUGAGAUGAGUCUUCCCUGACAGUUUAACUGUCCUAAAGGGUUGUUCGAGACUAGAACGUUGAUAGGCAGGGUGUGUAAGCGUUGUGAGGCGUUGAGCUAACCUGUACUAAUUGCCCGUGAGGCUUAACCAU